RNAcentral lists this non-coding RNA (45 nucleotides) under Trichobilharzia regenti. Lineage: Eukaryota; Metazoa; Platyhelminthes; Trematoda; Strigeidida; Schistosomatidae. The record is from RNAcentral.
AUCCAGAUGACGAGUCCCAAACAGGACGAAAUGUGCACCCUGGAU